AUGCCGCGCGCCACCCAAGCCACUCACUGCUUCCGCCACCCUCCAUCGCCGAGCUUGGCCCGGCCUCAGACAUGGCGCUCGGCCGCCCCUUGUCCCGCCUGCGCCGGCGACCAACAGCAGGUCGCUGCUCCGCACCGUCUGUGUCUUCUCCGUCGCUGGACUGCUGCCUCCGCCGCGCCCUUCCAUCCUUUCGUCUCCCUGGUGGCCGGACGCCUCGACCUCCUCUGCAAGGACAAGCCGCCGCCACGGCAAGUCCCCUGCUCCGGCAUCCUACACCUCCCCUUGCCAGAUCCGUGCCUCUCCGCCAUUCCUCAUCGUCCCGACGCCCCUCGCCUCAUCGAGCGACCUGGUCAUCUCCCGUUGUCGCCAUCCUCCUGCCAUGGCGCGGUUGUGCCCGAAGAGUCACCCGUGCCGUCCACAUUGAGCAGCCGCUCGAUCGCCUGCGUUGACUGCUCGUGCCGCGUCACCCCAUGGGCCACUACUUCACGGGCAGCCCUAGGCCCCAUGGCCACCACCGAGACCCUCAAAUCCUGUACCCGGAGCCCAAGUCUGAAGACUGCGUGGAUGUGCAUCUCACUUGUGCCACGUUGGAUCGUCAAGACCAUUUCGGGAUUCGCCAAGUAUCACUACGCCCGGAGACCACGGAUCUGUGAAAUUCCACUACCGUCGCCGUGGAUCAGACAAGUUCGCGAGUAUGACUACUUCCCACGACGACCUUGUACCACUAUCGUCGCAAUACUGCGAGUACCUCUACCGUCAUCAUGUACCACUACUUCCCUCAACGAACUUGAUCCGUUUUGA
RNAcentral lists this ribosomal RNA (801 nucleotides) under Triticum aestivum (bread wheat). RNAcentral's name for it is "partial small subunit ribosomal RNA". Lineage: Eukaryota; Viridiplantae; Streptophyta; Magnoliopsida; Poales; Poaceae. The record is from RNAcentral.